CUCUUGACCUCGGAUCAGGUAGGGAUACCCGCUGAACUUAAGCAUAUCAAUAAGCGGAGGAAAAGAAACCAACAGGGAUUGCCCCAGUAACGGCG
This 95-nucleotide ribosomal RNA is filed under the name Epicoccum nigrum. RNAcentral's name for it is "partial 28S ribosomal RNA". It matches the Rfam family "Eukaryotic large subunit ribosomal RNA", at positions 1 to 91 of the family's 3401-position model. Lineage: Eukaryota; Fungi; Ascomycota; Dothideomycetes; Pleosporales; Didymellaceae. The record is from RNAcentral.